CCCUUAGAUGUCCUGGGCUGCACGCGCGCUACACUGAUGUGUCCAGUAAGCACCUAACCUCUUCCGAAAGGAACGGGUAACCUUUGCAAAGCACAUCGUGAUGGGGAUAGAUUAUUGCAAUUAUUAGUCUUGAACGAGGAAUUCCUAGUAAGCACAAGUCAUCAGCUUGUGUUGAUUACGUCCCUGCCCUUUGUACACACCGCCCGUCGCUCCUACCGAUUGAAUGUUACGGUGAGCUCUUCGGACUGCGCGGUCUGCAGUUUCUGCGUUCCGUGCGGAAAGUUGCGCAAACCUUAACAUUUAGAGGAAGGAGAAGUCGUAACA
RNAcentral lists this ribosomal RNA (324 nucleotides) under uncultured eukaryote. RNAcentral describes it as "partial 18S ribosomal RNA". It matches the Rfam family "Eukaryotic small subunit ribosomal RNA", at positions 1470 to 1796 of the family's 1831-position model. The record is from RNAcentral.